This 1722-nucleotide long non-coding RNA is filed under the name Chrysolophus pictus (golden pheasant). Its description in RNAcentral is "lncRNA (ENSCPIG00010006032.1)". The record is from RNAcentral. Lineage: Eukaryota; Metazoa; Chordata; Aves; Galliformes; Phasianidae.
GCCAUUGUCACCCGUUGUCACCUUUGUACCCGUGUCCCCAUGUCUCAUUGUUCCCGUAACCCCACUGUCCCGUUGUCCCCACGCUCCCCGUGUCCUGUUGCCUCGUUGUCCCCAUGUCCCAUUGUCCCCAUUGUCCCCAUGUCCAGACGUCCCCAAUGUCCCCAUGCCUUAUUGUCACCAUUGUCCCCAUAACCCCAUUGUCCCGUUGUCCCCACUGUCCCCGUGUCCCGUUGUCUCGUUGUCUCCAUGUCCCAUUGUCCCCAUUGUCCCCAUUGUCCCUAUGUCCCAUUGUCCCCAAUGUCCCUAAGCUCUAUUGUCACCGUUGUCCCCAUAACCCCAUUGUCACCUUUGUACCCAUGUCCCGUUGCCCCCAUUGUCCCCAUUGUCCUCAAUGUCCCCAUGUCCAGAUGUCCCCAAUGUCCCCAUGCCCCAUUGUCACCAUUGUCCCAAUGUCCCAUUGUCCCCAUUGUCCCCAUGUCCAGAUGUCCCCAAUGCCCCCAUGCUCUAUUGUCACCGUUGUCCCCAUAACCCCAUUGUCACCAUUGUACCCAUGUCCCAUUGUCCCCAUUGUCCUCAAUGUCCCCACCUCCCAUUGUCCCCAAUGUCCCCAUGCCCUCUUGUCACCAUUGUCCCCAUGUCCAGUUGUCCCCAAUGUCCCCAUGCCCUAUUGUCCCCAUUGUCCCCAGUGUCCCCAUGUCCUGUUGUCCCCAUUGUCCCCAUAACCCCACUGUCCCUAUAUCCCAUUGUCUCCAUCGUCCCCAGUGUCCCCAUGUCUCAUUGUCCCCAUUGUCCCCUUGUCCCCAUUGUCCCCAUGUCCCAUUGUCCCCAUGUCCUAUUGGGGUUGUCCCCAUGUCCCAUCCUCAAUGUCCCCAUGUCCAGAUGUCCCCAGUGUCCCCAUGCCCCAUUGUCACCAUAAUCCCACUGUCCCAUUGUCCCCAUGUCCCAUUGUCCCCAUAACCCCACUGUCCCACUGUCACCCUUGUCCCCAACUUCCCAUUGUCCCCAUGUCGUUGUCCCCAUUGUCCCCAUUGUCCCCAUUGUCUCACUGUCCCCCUUGUCCCCACAUCCCAUUGUCCCAUUGUCCCCACGUCCCAUUGUCCCCAUUGUCCCCAUGUCCCCACACCCCUUUGUCCCCACAUCUCAUUGGUCCAUUGUCCCAUUGUCCCCAAUGUCCCCAUGUCCCAUUGUCCCCAUAACCCCACUGUCCCACUGUCACCCUUGUCCCCAACUUCCCAUUGUCCCCAUUGUCCCCAUUGUCCCAUUGUCCCACUGUCCCCACACCCACACGGUGACGUUGGGGUUAACAAUCCCUGGGAGGGGACAACAGGGACAUUUCUGGGGACAAAGUCCCUGGGUGUCACCCCCAUCACGUGGGUUGUGUCACCGUGCCCUGGGUGUCACCCGCCCCGAGGGCGUCACCAUUACCUACGUGUCACUGUCACCUCUGGGUCACCGUCACCUGGGGGUCACCAUCAGCACCUGAGUGUCACCACAGAGGGCUGUCACUGCGACCGUGGUGUCACCACCACAGCGAUGGUGGGUCAAAGUGGCCACCAUGUCACCAUGGCCACCACGUCAUCCUGACAAGUGCCACCAUGGCCACCACGUCACCCUGACCACAGUGUCACCCUGACCAGUGUCACCAUGGCCACCACGUCACCAUGACCACCAUGUCACCCUGACCACGGUGUCACCAUGACCACAAUGUCACAAUGGCCACCA